UUCCGGUUGAUCCCGCCAGACCUGACUGCUAUCGGAUUGAUACUAAGCCAUGCGAGUCGUUGUAGCAAUACAAGGCAUACGGCUCAGUAACGCGUAGUCAACCUAACCUAUGGACGGGAAUAACCUCGGGAAACUGAGAAUAAUGCCCGAUAGAACAUUAUGCCUGGAAUGGUUUAUGUUCCAAAUGAUUUAUCGCCAUAGGAUGGGACUGCGGCCUAUCAGUUUGUUGGUGAGGUAAUGGCCCACCAAGACUAUUACAGGUACGGGCUCUGAGAGGAGUAGCCCGGAGAUGGGUACUGAGACACGGACCCAGGCCCUAUGGGGCGCAGCAGGCGAGAAAACUUUGCAAUGUGCGAAAGCACGACAAGGUUAAUCCGAGUGAUUUCUGCUAAAGAGAUUUUUUGUUAGUCCUAGAAACACUAACGAAUAAGGGGUGGGCAAGUUCUGGUGUCAGCCGCCGCGGUAAAACCAGCACCUCAAGUGGUCAGGAUGAUUAUUGGGCCUAAAGCAUCCGUAGCCGGCUCUGUAAGUUUUCGGUUAAAUCUGUACGCUCAACGUACAGGCUGCCGGAAAUACUGCAGAACUAGGGAGUGGGAGAGGUAGACGGUACUCGGUAGGAAGUGGUAAAAUGCUUUGAUCUAUCGAUGACCACCUGUGGCGAAGGCGGUCUACCAGAACACGUCCGACGGUGAGGGAUGAAAGCUGGGGGAGCAAACCGGAUUAGAUACCCGGGUAGUCCCAGCUGUAAACUAUGCAAACUCAGUGAUGCAUUGGCUUGUGGCCAAUGCAGUGCUGCAGGGAAGCCGUUAAGUUUGCCGCCUGGGAAGUACGUACGCAAGUAUGAAACUUAAAGGAAUUGGCGGGGGAGCACCACAAGGGGUGAAGCCUGCGGUUCAAUUGGAUUCAACGCCGGG
This 914-nucleotide ribosomal RNA is filed under the name uncultured archaeon. RNAcentral's name for it is "bacterial SSU rRNA". It matches the Rfam family "Archaeal small subunit ribosomal RNA", at positions 1 to 922 of the family's 1478-position model. The record is from RNAcentral.